CCAGCUGGGCGGAGUCUUGGAGUGAUCUCCAGAACGUUCUUGGUAACGGUGAACUGAAGUUCAAUAAAGAAACUGCGGAGAACGCAAAAGUUGAGAAGCUGUUGCCCUGCCUCUUCAAUAAUUUUGCUGAAAUUUCAGAAUAUUAUCUGUCAGCUAGGUGCCCUUGCUGCGGUACCUGUUACAGAUGUUUGGUGGCCAGUACGGGUAGCGGCAACAAAUACGCAGGCUACAAGCACCUUCAGAAUCAACUGUUUAAAGCAGCGCGGGUUUUUCCCUUAUCGACUGACGACGGAGAGACGUCCUGCUUUAUCCAACCGUCAACCUAGAUGGACAGACCCUGCAUUCGCCAUACUGAGCACCUGUGAGGAAUGGAAAGCUGAGACUGUGCUGCACACGCUGAACAACACUGAGAGUUGAGGGUGAACGAGAUUCCUGGAAGAGAGAUCAACCGUGAGGAAGAGGGAAAAGUAGUCAUGGCGGACGGUGAGAGAAAACGUUUGGUGUGGAGCAUCAAGAAGAGUCUACUCACUCUGACAGCUGAUGAACUUUUCCAAUUGGCUACGCACGUUGGUCCUGCACCGGAGAAGGAUUCAUCCACGCUUCAGGUUGGAGAUGAAGACGGUUGCUUUGAGUACAUUCUAGCUUUCAUGAACAGUGAGACGUUGGUAGAGUCUGAGGAUUCAGACCAGGGCCUCGGAGCUAUCCUAUAUCAACACCAAGAUGGAAAGUUGCGUGUCAUUGGAUAUGGGUCUAGGACGCUAACAGCAGCUGAGCGUAACUAUCAUCUGCACAGUGGAAAACUGGAGUUCCUUGCCCUGAAGUGGGCUGUGUGUGAAAAAUGUAGGGAUUACUUGUUUUACGCACCCCACUUUACGAUAUUCACAGACAACAACCCACUGACCUACGUCAUGAGCACAGCAAAACUAAAUGCAGUAGGCCAUCGGUGGGUUGGGGAACUCUCAGACUUCAGAUUCGACAUUAAAUAUAGACCAGGAAAGUCCAAUGCGGAUGCCGACACGCUGUCACGCCUCCCUUUGGACAUUGAGAACUACGCCAAGUCUUG
This is a long non-coding RNA of Clupea harengus (Atlantic herring), 1063 nucleotides long. The record is from Ensembl. Lineage: Eukaryota; Metazoa; Chordata; Actinopteri; Clupeiformes; Clupeidae.